Molecule: ribosomal RNA, 576 nt
Filed under: uncultured bacterium
Lineage: Bacteria
Description: bacterial SSU rRNA
Rfam family: Bacterial small subunit ribosomal RNA
Source: RNAcentral
ACGGGUGAGUAAUACAUCGGAACGUAUCCUGGAGUGGGGGAUAGCCCGGCGAAAGCCGGAUUAAUACCGCAUACGCUCUGAGGAGGAAAGCGGGGGACCUUCGGGCCUCGCGCUCAAGGGGCGGCCGAUGGCGGAUUAGGUAGUUGGUGGGGUAAAGGCCUACCAAGCCGACGAUCCGUAGCUGGUCUGAGAGGACGACCAGCCACACUGGGACUGAGACACGGCCCAGACUCCUACGGGAGGCAGCAGUGGGGAAUUUUGGACAAUGGGGGCAACCCUGAUCCAGCAAUGCCGCGUGUGUGAAGAAGGCCUUCGGGUUGUAAAGCACUUUUGUCCGGAAAGAAAUCAUCGGGGCCAAUACCCCUGGUGGAUGACGGUACCGGAAGAAUAAGCACCGGCUAACUACGUGCCAGCAGCCGCGGUAAUACGUAGGGUGCGAGCGUUAAUCGGAUUUACUGGGCGUAAAGCGUGCGCAGGCGGUGCUGUAAGACCGAUGUGAAAUCCCCGGGCUUAACCUGGGAACUGCAUUGGUGACUGCGGCGCUGGAGUAUGGCAGAGGGGGGUGGAAUUCCACGU